This 73-nucleotide transfer RNA is filed under the name Cygnus olor (mute swan). RNAcentral describes it as "tRNA-Ser". It matches the Rfam family "tRNA". Rfam says of the family: Transfer RNA (tRNA) molecules are approximately 80 nucleotides in length. Their secondary structure includes four short double-helical elements and three loops (D, anti-codon, and T loops). Lineage: Eukaryota; Metazoa; Chordata; Aves; Anseriformes; Anatidae. The record is from RNAcentral.
AAGAAAGAAGCAUGAGUGGCUAAUGCAGUUGGCUUGAAACCAGUGUAUGAGGGUUCGAUUCCUUCCUUUCUUG